This 1207-nucleotide long non-coding RNA is filed under the name Olea europaea subsp. europaea. The record is from RNAcentral. Lineage: Eukaryota; Viridiplantae; Streptophyta; Magnoliopsida; Lamiales; Oleaceae.
AUCACGAAGGAUGCGUAAGAAAUAUGAAACGUGAUUUCGUAGCAGUAAAAUGGCGUGUUUGGAGUUUAUAAGGGUUUGCGAAGCGACGCACCUUUUCAAAUUAUAGAAGGAAACAAUGAUUGAAAUUCUUUGGGAAUCGUGAACGUUGCUGAAGACGUGAAGUGAAUAUGGCAAAAUUCAAUAAUUAUUAUUAAUUCUGCCAUAUUGGGGGGUAAUUGUUGACACAUAAAAAUUCAGCCCAAAUCGAACAGCCUAGAGAGUAAAGCCCAAUUGGAAGAUCUCCAAAUCAGAUAGCCCAAAGAACGAAAUCCAAUUGAACGAAUCAAGGUGAAUGCCCAAAUAAGGGGUCCAAUAGUGCGGUAACGACAUCGUCCAAGUUUGCAAGUCGCUCAGAGUCUGAACGAAUAGAGUGACAUACGGUCGUCCAGAGUCUCGCCCAAAUCUUCAAGUCGCCCAAGGUAUCAACAAACACAACGCAUUAUGAUGCAGUUAUUGAGGCAGUUGCUAAAGUAACUUUUAUCACGUUCCACGACUCAAGGGGUUCAAUCGAAAGCGGUUGAACGAUGCAAGAUAAUGGCAGCAGUUAAAAGGACAGUUUCAUGACAAAUGGCCACUACAAAGAAAGUGGGUAGUUAUAGGGCGAUCAAGCAGUUUUUUAGAGCAGUUAAUCACAAAGGGAUCGCCUAUGAAGUAUAAAAGGGAGAAAGAACUUAGAAGCAAAAGACCGAAUCCAAAACUCUCGAACAGAGAAUAUGUAAUUUUCAUUCCUUUAACUUUUAGACUUAAACAUUUCAUUUUCUGUAACUCGUGUGCUUGCGCCCCUUGGAGGCACGUUGUUUUCCAUUUCCAAUUGUAAAAUUCAUCGUCAAUAAAAAGAACACCCAUUUUUGGGAUUUUGUCUCAAGAGGUUUAGUCCCUUACACAAUCGUCUGAUUCUCUUUAAUUGUUAGCGAAUUAACACGCGCGAAACAACUGUACACAUGGAAUAUAAUUUUAAAAUGUUAAAAGAAAGUUAUUGGCACAGGAAAACUUUUAUAUGGCAAUCGGAAACUAUUUAGACAAAUUGAAGGUGACAAAUGUAAUGGUUACAAACGUGAUGAUUGACACAAAUUAAGGCACACAAAUUGUACAUAUGCAAUACACAAACUAAUAAAAACAAAUACAUUGUAGUGGUGAUGGCAGAUACAAGAAACAGAUUACACAUAUG